Dreissena polymorpha is the source of this 415-nucleotide long non-coding RNA. RefSeq lists it as uncharacterized. NCBI's taxonomy places the organism in Eukaryota, Metazoa, Mollusca, Bivalvia, Myida, Dreissenidae. The record is from RefSeq and is a predicted model, not a curated record. The transcript has 3 exons.
CCAGAUACCAGAAAAUGUGCAAAAAGGCAUGACAAUCUUUGACCCGCGCGAACGACGAACAAUCUCCGCAGCUAACUGCUAUGAAAUACAGCACGGUCAAUCUCUGACCUUUACUUGUGAACCAUCUGACGUGUUUAACUUCGAGCCGAACAGAAGAAUGUUCGAGUGUGUCAAAGGAUCAUGGGUUAAUAAGAAACGCCUCGGCGUAGAUACGUAGGAUUUUGGAAACAAUGGGUCAUUCCCCGAAUGCCGAAAAGUUUUGUGUCGAGCAGAUUAUUGCAAGUUUGGUGGUUACUGCAUCCGGGAUCAUGAAUGCCAAUGUCCGGAACAAACGAGCGGGAAACAGUGUCAAAUACCCCUGUGUAAUUCUGAAUGUCAGAACGGAGGAAAGUGUGUAUCACCUGACGUGUGUCAG